AGUGCCUUUCUGGUUCUCCUGAGAGCUAAAGGAGAGACAUACGAAGAAGUAAGUCAAGCUAGGCGUAUACAAAAAACAUACAUAAUUCUAAAUUAUAGCACUUCACUAAGUAAAGCACUUCACUAAGUAAACAAACGAUGUUGGGUAGAUUGUGGGGUUGGCUAGGGCAAUGAUGAAGCAUGCCAGGAAAGUGGAAGGAUUAGUCGAUGCUAUGGACAUAGUUGGAACAGGUGGUGAUGGAGCAAACACAGUCAAUAUAUCAACUGGAUCUUCAAUACUUGCUGCAGCUUGUGGUGCAAAAGUAGCAUAAGGUAAUAGAGGAUUAAGCUACAGAUUAAUGGAGAAAAGAAGCUGGCUUUCAAUGAGUUUUUGAAAGACCCAUCUGGCAUGGAGGCUGUGAUCAACGCUAAGGCUUUGCAGAGUUAUCAUUUAGUUGAAGAUACUGAUGAUACUUACAUCAGGUACAAGCAUGAACUAAGAUCCUGAGUUUUACAGCUUUUAUGCUCCAAGUAUAUAUGAAAAUGUUCAUGUUGCAGAGGUUUGAACAAAAAUCUCAAGAUUCUGAGUCAUUACCACUUGUUCCCACCACCAAAACGUUUCUCAGGCGAUUCAUUCAAGCAGCACAAGCGUCUCACAAGGUGGUUCCCGAUAUGGAGAUGGAGUUUCUAGCAAACCAAGUUAUAAACGUGUUUAC
Molecule: long non-coding RNA, 694 nt
Organism: Arabidopsis lyrata subsp. lyrata
Lineage: Eukaryota; Viridiplantae; Streptophyta; Magnoliopsida; Brassicales; Brassicaceae
Exons: 3
Source: RefSeq, a predicted model, not a curated record